UGGUAAAGGUGGAAAAGGUUUGGGUAA
RNAcentral lists this non-coding RNA (27 nucleotides) under Homo sapiens (human). Lineage: Eukaryota; Metazoa; Chordata; Mammalia; Primates; Hominidae. The record is from RNAcentral.